UUGCACGCUGGCGGCAUGCCUUACACAUGCCAGUCGAACGGCAGCACGGGUGCUUGCACCUGGUGGCGAGUGGCGAACGGGUGAGUAAUACAUCGGAACAUGUCCUGUAGUGGGGGAUAGCCCGGCGAAAGCCGGAUUAAUACCGCAUACGAUCUACGGAUGAAAGCGGGGGCCCUUCGGGCCUCGCGCUAUAGGGUUGGCCGAUGGCUGAUUAGCUAGUUGGUGGGGUAAAGGCCUACCAAGGCGACGAUCAGUAGCUGGUCUGAGAGGACAACCAGCCACACUGGGACUGAGACACGGCCCAGACUCCUACGGGAGGCAGCAGUGGGGAAUUUUGGACAAUGGGCGAAAGCCUGAUCCAGCAAUGCCGCGUGUGUGAAGAAGGCCUUCGGGUUGUAAAGCACUUUUGUCCGGAAAGAAAUCCUUGGCCCUAAUACGGUCGGGGGAUGACGGUACCGGAAGAAUAAGCACCGGCUAACUACGUG
RNAcentral lists this ribosomal RNA (485 nucleotides) under uncultured bacterium. RNAcentral's name for it is "partial 16S ribosomal RNA". It matches the Rfam family "Bacterial small subunit ribosomal RNA", at positions 30 to 507 of the family's 1533-position model. The record is from RNAcentral.